GGGCGCUUAGCUCAGUUGGUAGAGCAGCUGACUCUUAAUCAGCGGGUCGAAGGUUCGAUUCCUUCAGCGCCCACCA
RNAcentral lists this transfer RNA (76 nucleotides) under Alphaproteobacteria bacterium. RNAcentral describes it as "tRNA-Lys". It matches the Rfam family "tRNA". From Rfam's summary of the family: Transfer RNA (tRNA) molecules are approximately 80 nucleotides in length. The record is from RNAcentral. Lineage: Bacteria; Pseudomonadati; Pseudomonadota; Alphaproteobacteria.